CUAGCUAAUGGACACCACAUUAGGCCACCAACUUCUCAUGCUCAUGGAUACCUUCUCGGAUCAUAAUCAAAUCUAGAUGGUGCCUGAGGACAAAAAGAAUAUCACAUUUACCACUGAUAAUGGUCUUUUUUUUUAUAGGGUCAUGCCCUCAGCUUGAAAAAUGAGGAGCAAUCUAUUAAAGACUAGUGAAUAAGAUCUUUAAGGAGCGGAUUAGCAAGAAUGUGGAGGUCUACAUGGAUGACAU
Molecule: long non-coding RNA, 244 nt
Filed under: Elaeis guineensis (African oil palm)
Lineage: Eukaryota; Viridiplantae; Streptophyta; Magnoliopsida; Arecales; Arecaceae
Description: long non-coding RNA (EGUI_LNC042695)
Source: RNAcentral